ACUGGCACACUGCUCAAAGCUUCCCGAUGUUUUGCCAUUGACUGUCUCAACAUGAAUUUAUGAAAACUCAUCAAUCUGAACCAAAAUCAACCCCUUUUUGCUUAAGAAAUUCUUUGGCCUCGAUGAUGUCCUGCUGCAAUAGCAUUGCUUCUUGAGGACAAGUUGGAAAUCGCAUUAAGCCAACUCCAACCAUUAAUAAACCAUAGCAUCCCAGCAAUACAACCAAAUAGAUGGGUAGCAACCAAGUAUGGAUAUUAGGAAUGACAGCUGUUUGCAAGAGGCCAAUCCAAAUGGCAGAA
RNAcentral lists this unclassified non-coding RNA (299 nucleotides) under Hevea brasiliensis (rubber tree). Lineage: Eukaryota; Viridiplantae; Streptophyta; Magnoliopsida; Malpighiales; Euphorbiaceae. The record is from RNAcentral.